Sinocyclocheilus grahami is the source of this 279-nucleotide long non-coding RNA. RefSeq lists it as uncharacterized. Lineage: Eukaryota; Metazoa; Chordata; Actinopteri; Cypriniformes; Cyprinidae. The transcript is spliced from 3 exons. The record is from RefSeq and is a predicted model, not a curated record.
CUGAAGCAGCACUAGAGGCCGAACAUGGAUCUGAUCGAUCAGUAAAGAGAGCAGCGCCUGCUCUUAGAAUCAUACGAAGAACUGAAAGAUUGAAUUAACGUUACACUGCUGCAGUAAAUAAAAUAAGAGAGAAAGGCUGGCAAAUAAUUGAUGAUCGACUGAAUGCUAAGUGAAAUGCAAUUAACUUCAGUGGGGAGAAAAGAACAUGGCAGCAGGUGAAAAUUAAAUAUAAAAAUAUUAUUCAGAAUGCUGCAAAAAGGAAGAGUGAUGUAGCGAGAU